Anolis carolinensis (green anole) is the source of this 442-nucleotide long non-coding RNA. RefSeq lists it as uncharacterized. The transcript is spliced from 3 exons. Lineage: Eukaryota; Metazoa; Chordata; Lepidosauria; Squamata; Anolidae. The record is from RefSeq and is a predicted model, not a curated record.
CAAGAGAAAUUUCCGGCUUCCUUUUCCGCAGCCUGCCACCCAAUUUGAAAUGAGCCGGGAACCUCACCGGGGCCAAUGAUCUGGGCAGGAGGCGUCUGCUUUCGCUUUUGGCGCGCCUUACAAACGCCGGCCUGGCUUGCCUUCCUGCUCUUCUUUCUCCUCCUGCUUCUUCGGGGCUUUGGACGGUCUCAAUCCCCCCUGUGAUGCCCGAGGAUGGAUGGACAGACGGAUGGACAGCUAGCUUGGAUAGACCCAGCUGAGGCAUUCCCUGGCCUGGAGCAGUGCUGGAAGCUCUCAAGAACAUGGUGCCAGAUGAUUCAAGGACCAGCAUUAGGCCAGAUCCAUAUUUACCUACUCGUAUUAAAGAAGAUUUAUUAAAGUUGGAGAUUAAAUUUUCUACAUAACCACAUUCACAUUGUACCGAAGGAGGAUCACGCUGAGG